AAAUUUCCCUUAGCUCAGAGGAAAAGCAACUGUUUCUAAACAGUGAAUCGCAGGUUCGAAUCCUGCAGGAU
RNAcentral lists this transfer RNA (71 nucleotides) under Erysipelotrichaceae bacterium. Its description in RNAcentral is "tRNA-OTHER". The stretch from base 8 to 69 matches the Rfam family "tRNA", at positions 5 to 66 of the family's 71-position model. Rfam says of the family: Transfer RNA (tRNA) molecules are approximately 80 nucleotides in length. Their secondary structure includes four short double-helical elements and three loops (D, anti-codon, and T loops). Further hydrogen bonds mediate the characteristic L-shaped molecular structure. tRNAs have two regions of fundamental functional importance: the anti-codon, which is responsible for specific mRNA codon recognition, and the 3' end, to which the tRNAs corresponding amino acid is attached (by aminoacyl-tRNA synthetases). tRNAs cope with the degeneracy of the genetic code in two manners: having more than one tRNA (with a specific anti-codon) for a particular amino acid; and 'wobble' base-pairing, i.e. permitting non-standard base-pairing at the 3rd anti-codon position. The record is from RNAcentral. Lineage: Bacteria; Bacillati; Bacillota; Erysipelotrichia; Erysipelotrichales; Erysipelotrichaceae.